This 402-nucleotide ribosomal RNA is filed under the name uncultured bacterium. Its description in RNAcentral is "bacterial SSU rRNA". It matches the Rfam family "Bacterial small subunit ribosomal RNA", at positions 443 to 842 of the family's 1533-position model. The record is from RNAcentral.
GGAGCAAGGGCCGGGACGCGUCCCGGCCCGGAGAGUACCCGGAGAAAAAGCAUCGGCUAACUCCGUGCCAGCAGCCGCGGUAAUACGGAGGAUGCGAGCGUUAUCCGGAUUUAUUGGGUUUAAAGGGUGCGUAGGCGGGCUUUUAAGUCAGCGGUAAAAAUUCGGGGCUCAACCCCGUCCGGCCGUUGAAACUGGGGGCCUUGAGUGGGCGAGAAGAAGGCGGAAUGCGUGGUGUAGCGGUGAAAUGCAUAGAUAUCACGCAGAACCCCGAUUGCGAAGGCAGCCUUCCGGCGCCCUACUGACGCUGAGGCACGAAAGUGCGGGGAUCGAACAGGAUUAGAUACCCUGGUAGUCCGCACAGUAAACGAUGGAUGCCAGCUGUCCGGGCCGAAUGGGGCCUGG